CCUCUUCGUGUCAUGCGCAACACGCGCACACGCAUACACACGAUUUCUGGGCAAGUCGAGGCAGAGGUAGUAGUCGGGAAGGCGGCGACAGCACCGCAGUGCGCCUCACGCUGUCUAUCUCCCGCAGGCUCGUUCUUUUUUUUUCUGUGCGUCCGCAGCCGCCGCUCUGCUACGAGGAAGAGAUAGGCGAGGUGAGGCAUGUAAUCCUCAUCGCUCCACCCCUCCGUCUUUCCAUACGUGGGUCUCAUGAGCACGCGCCGCGGCACGACGGCAGCUGCUCAUGCCCCUGUCCAACCCUCGCUGCGCGCCCUCGAUGAACAUGUGCAGAUGCUGCGGGCAGAGGCGCGGACGGGGCUGGGCUCGCGAGAUGUACGUAGAGCACUUAUCAAGGAGGAGCUGCGACCGCCCCGCGUUGUUUGUGGCGGCGGUGGAGCACGUGGCCCAAAGGCGCCGUCGCUUACCACCGGCUCUGCAGCCUCCGGAUCCGUGACUGCAUCAGCAGGAGCGGACGGCGGCAUCGCUGACAUACCGUCCGCGUGGUUAGAAGGCGACUUCCACCUCAAGUCAGCUGUCGCUGAUGGGGGCGGAGCGGCCGCCGCGUUCCGGCCCGCCUGCGUGCGCUUCGCAGGAGAAGCAACCGCCACCAUGUCUACCGGCGCGGCACCUUUGCCACCAGACUCUAGCAACGCACUCCGCACGUACCAAGCGCUGUGCGCCGCCGCCGAUGAAGUGGACUACGACGUGUCGUACGAGGAGGCACUGCGGCAGGUAGAGGAUCGCGAUAGUCAGACGGGGCUGGCGACCACAUGGCGAACGCGGCGUCGCCCAUCGGCACCGCUGCCUUUCAGUUCGAUGGCGGUGACGGCCUCAGCGUUGAGUUGGGAUGCACGAGGGGAGCGUUCGACGUGCGCGGGCGGCGUAGAAGCAGCUGGCAAUCUCCGUUCGGCUGCGUCUCACGAGCUGUACACGAAGCCGCCGUCGCGGCCGUCUGCGGCUGGCCGCGGUACCGCUGGCCGCCUUUCUGCUGCACUUUCUGCCUCUCGGCCCGCCUUGCAGGCGUCCGUCAUAUCGGCCGCGACUUCAUCGGCGAUCACAACAACGAGAAGAAUGAAAGCGCAGGUGUCGCGCUCGUGUGGUGGUGGCGGCGGCGGCGGCGCGUUCUCCUCCUUAUCCACGGAGGGCACGGCGGUCGCGCGCAGCUCCGCGGCAACGUACGCGAUGGCGCUCCGCCAACGUGUGCAGGAGCAGCGCGAAUACGCGAGCCGCGUUGGAGGUGGCCCGCCGCGGUCGAGUUCGACCCCAGCAGUAUGGCGUGGCAGAGAGGACAAUGAGGGCAGUGGUGGAGCUGCUGCGCUCGAGUGGCGGACGCGCAUGACGGCAGCUGUGACUGUGGCAGUCUGUCCAUCAUGUGCCGCGUGGUUUGAGCGAGCGCUGCAACAGCCACAGCGGCCUCUGCCAUCGGAGGAGGCUCGACAACAGACAGCGGGGGAAUCGGAUUACGCUCCAAGGUGCUGCUGUCCUCGCUGUGGCCAUGAUGUCGACACUGCAGCCGGCGCAGACACUCCGGCGGGGGCAGGACCGCGGUGGGUCUGGGCUCCGUCUGCCGCAACAGGCCUCUCUGAAGCAAUCAAGCGAGACUUCGAUGGAACUCCUGCAAGAGUCAUUGACUCCGCUGUGGCCCGUUGCCCGCAGCAGCCAUCCUCCCCAGCCUCGGCAGCGAGGCAUCGUAUCACCAACGGCGCAGGUAGUGAGACGUGCGGCACCGACAGUGUUGGCUUCGCAGAGAGUGGCAACGGAGGUGAGGAGGAGUCCUUCGCUGCGUUGGUGGCGCGCAUCCGGGCCUCGAAGCGGAGAGCGCAGGAAGACGCGGAGGGGGGCAAUGCGACGGCCACCAGCGUCUCAGAGGCACGCGCGCGUCAGGCUCCGUUGAGCAGCGCUUCCAUAGCGCCUCUACACCCAUCUACGGAGUUAGCGCCAGCUACAGCGCCUAAGGGUGUCGGUAUCUCCCGUGUAUGCAUCGAGACUGGCAUGUCAGGCGAAACCAUGUCCUUUCCUCCAGCAGCACCACUCUCUGGGCCUCCUUCCUUGAGCGAGCUGACCUUGCCCGCCCGCGUGAACCCGUUCGCCCAGAGACUUCGUGUCGCCCUCAACCGCCUCUACUUUUACGACCUUUGGGCGAGUGCGAUAGGCGAGCAGACGUGAGUGGCCGAGAGGUGGGGGCUCUGCACGGGCAGCCAUUGUGCUCGCUGGUGAUGCGUCAAUGUAUGAGAACGAGGGAGAGAAAGGAAGUGGUGCGGUCGACCUCAUGCACACGGAACCGCCGCUGCGCUUUUUUGUUUCUUCUGCCGCCGCUGCCACCGCCUCCCUGCCCUUCCCCUCCCCUCCACGCCGCCUCCCCAACGCUUUUCAGAUGUGCCACUCCUGUCGACGCCAUCGCGCAGCCUGUCUUAUCUCUUUCUCCGUCGCAGAGAUGGGCGCGACGACAGCUGCUCACGUCUUUCGACACGAUGUCACAUACGUCGCCUUCACCCUCUCCUUCCGUGCGCGGUUUGGGGCCUCUUCCUGCUCUCCUCCACGUCUCCCCGCUGUUGCCCCCAUCUCCCUAUGCCUCCGUGUCGGAGCCCGUGGUCGAGUCACCCGGGUCAACGCGGCGGCAGGGGCCAGACGGACGCGGAGGCGUUGGUAAGAGGAAGGUGGACGGUGGGUUCGAGCACACGCUCACGAGUGUGCGUUACGCACAGAACAAGCGCACGUGAGCGUAAAGAUCACGCACUUCGGCGUACAGUAGGGCAGCAGCCGUAGAAGAGGAUGCCCAUUGCGAGGAUAAUGGCGUAUGCUCGUCUGAUCAUUGCCCACUUGCAAGCUGGUACGCGUGUACGCCUUCACGAAGGGGACGAGGGGCGGAGUAGAUGGGCGGUGCGCCGUGCAACAACACACUCCUCUCUAGCGCUCCAUAUCCCAUCAAUGCCACCUCGCACGAGUUUCGCUUCAUGCAGGACACAGGUUGAGGGGCAUGGGUGUCGGACUGCAGAGGUCCAUCCCCCCUCCCUCCCUCACCCGCUCUUCCCUCGGCCCCUCCUCUAUGACCUCUCUCGCGCGCACACACACACACAGACCGGCAUACUUGGUUCGCUGAUCUUCGGCUUCUUCUUUAUUUGGCAUCCCCCCUGCCCGUAAUCAUCCUGCCCUUUACUCCUGCUUUGGAUCCCUCCUGCCCUGCCCCUCCUGGCACGGCACUCGAGCACGCGCACACACGCCAUCACAAACGUGCAAGCCGCGGCCGGAUGAUCGUGAUGGUGACAUUGAUGUAUCACGGAAGCCGCAACUAGUCCUUCCACGACGCCGCCGUCCUACUCCGCUGUCUCGCCAGACGCGCUUCCUUUU
RNAcentral lists this unclassified non-coding RNA (3384 nucleotides) under Leishmania donovani. Its description in RNAcentral is "gene:LdHU3.15.0460(CDS-product:hypothetical_prote in_conserved)". The record is from RNAcentral. Lineage: Eukaryota; Euglenozoa; Kinetoplastea; Trypanosomatida; Trypanosomatidae.